CGUGACGUCGCGAGAAGUCCACUGAACCUUAUCAUUUAGAGGAAGGAGAAGUCGUAACAAGGUUUCCGUAGGUGAACCUGCGGAAGGAUCAUUGUCGAGACCUGCCCAGCAGAAAGACCCGCGAAC
This 126-nucleotide ribosomal RNA is filed under the name Ficus congesta. Its description in RNAcentral is "partial 18S ribosomal RNA". The stretch from base 1 to 94 matches the Rfam family "Eukaryotic small subunit ribosomal RNA", at positions 1738 to 1831 of the family's 1831-position model. RNAcentral also lists the same sequence under 1 other name. The record is from RNAcentral. Lineage: Eukaryota; Viridiplantae; Streptophyta; Magnoliopsida; Rosales; Moraceae.